CCUACGGGAGGCUGCAGUGGGGAAUAUUGGACAAUGGGCGAAAGCCUGAUCCAGCCAUGCCGCGUGUGUGAAGAAGGCCUUCGGGUUGUAAAGCACUUUCAGUGGGGAAGAAAGCCUUGGGGCUAAUACCCUCGAGGAAGGACAUCACCCACAGAAGAAGCACCGGCUAACUCCGUGCCAGCAGCCGCGGUAAUACGGAGGGUGCGAGCGUUAAUCGGAAUUACUGGGCGUAAAGCGCGCGUAGGCGGUCUGAUAAGCCGGUUGUGAAAGCCCCGGGCUCAACCUGGGAACGGCAUCCGGAACUGUCAGGCUAGAGUGCAGGAGAGGAAGGUAGAACUCCCGGUGUAGCGGUGAAAUGCGUAGAGAUCGGGAGGAAUACCAGUGGCGAAGGCGGCCUUCUGGACUGACACUGACGCUGAGGUGCGAAAGCGUGGGUAGCAAACAGGAUUAGAUACCCGGGUAGUC
This 465-nucleotide ribosomal RNA is filed under the name Vreelandella stevensii. Its description in RNAcentral is "partial 16S ribosomal RNA". It matches the Rfam family "Bacterial small subunit ribosomal RNA", at positions 338 to 795 of the family's 1533-position model. The record is from RNAcentral. Lineage: Bacteria; Pseudomonadati; Pseudomonadota; Gammaproteobacteria; Oceanospirillales; Halomonadaceae.